This 251-nucleotide ribosomal RNA is filed under the name uncultured prokaryote. Its description in RNAcentral is "partial 16S ribosomal RNA". It matches the Rfam family "Bacterial small subunit ribosomal RNA", at positions 525 to 775 of the family's 1533-position model. The record is from RNAcentral.
ACAGAGGUGGCAAGCGUUGUUCGGAUUUAUUGGGCGUAAAGGGUCCGUAGGCGGCCUGAAAAGUUGGAUGUGAAAUCCCACAGCUUAACUGUGGAACUGCAUUCAAAACUUUCAGGCUCGAGUGUGAUAGGGGUAAAGGGAAUUCCCGGUGUAAGGGUGAAAUCUGCAGAGAUCGGGAGGAACACCAGUCGCGAAGGCGCUUUACUGGAUCACUACUGACGCUGAGGGACGAAAGCCAGGGGAGCAAACGG